CCCUCAAUUCCUCAGGAUGUGAGGAAAUGAAGCAAAGGAAAAAUACCUCUCCCCUCCCACCUUGAGCAUAGCUCCCUGUCAGCACCGCAGCCUGGGAACCAAGGUGGAGAGAAGAUGUGAUCACACUGCUCUUGGCUAUUGGGACUGUCACCAGACAGGGUCUGAAGGGGUCUCUGAAGUGGAGCUGGGGAACCUCAUCUUACUCCACCCACAGGCUACCUGGUUCCACACUACAGAAGCAGAGGGGAACAUAAAGGCCAUUGCCCUGAGCUGCAGAAGUGAAAAACAGACAGAGGCCCUCUCUCAGGCUCCCUGAUGAAAACUGAAGCCCACUGGAAAAGUGAAGAGACUCUCUGCAAUAAAGGCACACCCGACCACCGUGCUUG
RNAcentral lists this long non-coding RNA (386 nucleotides) under Heterocephalus glaber (naked mole-rat). RNAcentral describes it as "lncRNA (ENSHGLG00100043250.1)". The record is from RNAcentral. Lineage: Eukaryota; Metazoa; Chordata; Mammalia; Rodentia; Bathyergidae.